GUGUGCGAUCAUACUAGCGUUGAUGCAUCGGAUCCCAUCAGAACUCUGCAGUUAAGCGCACUUGGAAUAGAGUAGUAUUGGGAUGGGUGACCUCUCGAAAAGUCCUAGUGUUUCACCUG
This is a non-coding RNA of Picea glauca (white spruce), 119 nucleotides long. Lineage: Eukaryota; Viridiplantae; Streptophyta; Pinopsida; Pinales; Pinaceae. The record is from Rfam.